GGGAGCUUGCUCCUGGUGGCGAGUGGCGAACGCCCUGAGUAAUACAUCGGAACGUACCCUGAAGUGGGGGAUAACGUAGCGAAAGUUACGCUAAUACCGCAUAUUCUGUGAGCAGGAAUGAGGGGGAUCGCAAGACCUCUUGCUUUACGAGCGGCCCAUGUCGGAUUAUCUAGUUGGUGAGGUAAAGGCUCCCCCAGGCGACUAUCCGUACCCGGUCUGAGACGAUGAUCCGCCACCCUGGUACUGACACUCCGCCCCUUACUCCCCACUGGAGUCAUCAGUGGG
This 285-nucleotide ribosomal RNA is filed under the name uncultured bacterium. RNAcentral describes it as "partial 16S ribosomal RNA". It matches the Rfam family "Bacterial small subunit ribosomal RNA", at positions 74 to 358 of the family's 1533-position model. The record is from RNAcentral.